RNAcentral lists this ribosomal RNA (564 nucleotides) under uncultured Glomeromycotina. RNAcentral describes it as "SSU rRNA". It matches the Rfam family "Eukaryotic small subunit ribosomal RNA", at positions 548 to 1114 of the family's 1831-position model. Lineage: Eukaryota; Fungi; Glomeromycota. The record is from RNAcentral.
UUGGAGGGCAAGUCUGGUGCCAGCAGCCACGGUAAUUCCAGCUCCAAUAGCGUAUAUUAAAGUUGUUGCAGUUAAAAAGCUCGUAGUUGAAUUUCGGGAUCAGAUCGUCGGUCGUGCCUCGGUACGCACUGGUAUUAUUGGUUCCUACCUUCUGAAGAACCGCGAUGUCAUUAAUUUGGUGUCGUGGGGAAUCAGGACUGUUACUUUGAAAAAAUUAGAGUGUUUAAAGCAGGCUUACGCUUGAAUACAUUAGCAUGGAACAAUGAAAUAGGACGUUUGAUUCUAUUUUGUUGGUUUCUAGGAUUGACGUAAUGAUUAAUAGGGAUAGUUGGGGGCAUUAGUAUUCAAUUGUCGGAGGUGAAAUUCUUGGAUUUAUUGAAGACUAACUACUGCGAAAGCAUUUGCCAAGGAUGUUUUCAUUAAUCAAGAACGAAAGUUAGGGGAUCGAAGACGAUCAGAUACCGUCGUAGUCUUAACCAUAAACUAUGCCGACUAGGGAUCGGAUGACGUUAAUUUUUUAAUGACUUAUUCGGCGCCUUACGGGAAACCAAAGUGUUUGGGUUC